This 859-nucleotide long non-coding RNA is filed under the name Apteryx rowi (Okarito brown kiwi). Its description in RNAcentral is "lncRNA (ENSARWG00000014820.1)". Lineage: Eukaryota; Metazoa; Chordata; Aves; Apterygiformes; Apterygidae. The record is from RNAcentral.
CACAUAUCUUGAAGGGAUAAGGAUUUUUUUAAACUUAUACUUUAACUGUCAAGAUCAGAAAUGUGUAACUGGGUGGSAAGUUAGAAAAAAGUAAAACUUUGGAAUGUCUUUUCAGAAAGGGUUUUGGGGAAGGACUGUAUUAAUUCUAAGAAGAUCCUUGAUAAGCUCUGAGAAGGGACUGUAGGACAGGAGAAGAGAUGUGAACUUCUGCAUAGCCUCUUUCUUUACAUCACAACAGGAACCAAGAAAGCCAUCACCGUAUGAUGAAUACGUAUCCCUUGGUGUCCUGUGUAUGUCUGGUCAUUUUGAUCUGCUGCUGGUCGCUUUUAGAGUUGAAUGAGGCACUUCUUCCCUGCCUUCAGCCUGCUUUACAGAGAGAUGUAGAAAAUCAGUGACAGCUAGAAAUAUGAGCCUGGCCAGCGUUUUCUGUUCUGAAGAAAAUCUUCAAAAUAAGAACAGAUUCUUUGGCUGAAUGUAAAGCUGUAUUGUUAAGGAAUAUUUCAGCAGGAUAUUUUGCCUUUCCAUCCAUGGAUGACCACGAAGCCAGUGACGGCUCAGGCCAUGAGACUAGGAAGAUGUUUCCUAGCCUGGAUGGCUGUAACACUCCGCACAAGUGCUCUCACGCUCAGCUCUUAGCUCCUGUUUUCCUCUCGAUUUAUGCACCUUUGUCCAGAAGCACCCUCUGCUCAGGUGAGGUGCUCAGACCAGUGACRAAGGUUUCUCUCUGGGCAAAAUCUCUCAUUUCACAAGUGCCCACAAGGUUUGCAAGAAUCUGCUGCUGCCUGAAAGCCCUGUUUAGUGACUGGAGGAAGGACCUCACAAGGACUCGUCUGAUGUCUUUGUUAAUUUUUGCUUCAUC